Molecule: ribosomal RNA, 257 nt
Filed under: uncultured Glomus
Lineage: Eukaryota; Fungi; Glomeromycota; Glomeromycetes; Glomerales; Glomeraceae
Description: partial 18S ribosomal RNA
Rfam family: Eukaryotic small subunit ribosomal RNA
Source: RNAcentral
AAGCUCGUAGUUGAAUUUCGGGAUUAGUACGUCGGUCGUGCCUUAGGUACGUACUGGUGUUACUGGUUCCUACCUUCUGACGAACCAUCAUGUCAUUAAUUUGGUGUGGUGGGGAAUCAGGACAGUUACUUUGAAAAAAUUAGAGUGUUUAAAGCAGGCUCGCGCUUGAAUACAUUAGCAUGGAAUAAUGAAAUAGGACGUUGAUCCUAUUUUGUUGGUUUCUAGGAUUGACGUAAUGAUUAAUAGGGAUAGUUGGG